Triplophysa dalaica is the source of this 1051-nucleotide long non-coding RNA. RefSeq lists it as uncharacterized. NCBI's taxonomy places the organism in Eukaryota, Metazoa, Chordata, Actinopteri, Cypriniformes, Nemacheilidae. The record is from RefSeq and is a predicted model, not a curated record. The transcript has 3 exons.
GACAAACUUUACCUUCGCGGGCAUUUUGGUCCACCUCAUCUCGAAAAGCUGUUAUUCGGAUAAUAAAAGGAUGCAGAAUAACAGCUAAUAUUAAUGGAUCAUUCUAUUCAAGAGAAAGUCAACUGGAACUUGGAUGUUUUCAUAACAGGCUUAAAGAUGAACAAAUUGAUAAAGAAACCCUCCUGCUGAACAUCCACUUCCAAAAGUGCACGCCACACUGUUGUCUACAAACUCCUUGGAAAAGAAUCCUCUUUAGUAAGACUGCUCCGUGGAUAUGUCAGGUUAAGCAGUGCUGAAACCGAAAGAACUAACGCUCUUUAAAAUGUUUUGUGAGUUUAUAUGAAGAGGAAAGUUACGGUGUCCCUUUUUCACAUCCAUAACGCUUGUUUAUUUCUUUUUUUAUAGAAAACUUGUGCAUAGACUAAUAUUUUAUCAUAUAAAUGUGGUUCUAUCAACAAGGGUUUAGUAAAAUACUUUUUAUAGUGUUUUUAUGUUGCAUCCAUAACGCUGCAAUUGCCCUAAAGCAUUUUACUCGUGCCACUUUGUUAACUGUAUAUACAUUUUUGAAGUGUUAAGUUGUCUAACUAUUUAUAUUUACUUUAAUAACUUUAAUAACCUUGUUAAAUGUAUAUGUUAAAAUCUAAACUAAUGUAAUUUAUUGAAGUUAAUUUUCCUUAAAUAUGUAUUAACAUACAUUUCAUCAAAGUGUUUUAUAUGCCAUUUUAUUGUUCAUUGAGCAUAACAUAUUGCAUGUUUUUAUGAAUUCCUUUUGUCUUGCAUUUUGAUCCUUAAUAAAACUUUUGAUUCUUACUGAUGCCUCGAGUAUUUCUCUGUGAUUUUGUUAUUAUUAUUUUUAAACAUUUCGGGUUUGUUUUAAACCAGCAAUGUAAUUUUUAAGCAAAAGUUGAUAUAAAUAAAACAACCCAGCAUGUUGGGUCAAAGAUAUAACCCAACUGGCUGGGUUAAAAUAACCCAACGCUGGGUUUGUCCAUAUUUGACCCAACGUUGGGUUACCAAAAUAACCCAAAUUGGGUUGUUUUAACCCAGCCUU